CCCAGACUCCUACGGGAGGCAGCAGUGGGGGAUAUUGCACAAUGGGGGGAACCCUGAUGCAGCGACGCCGCGUGGGUGAAGGAGUGCUUCGGCAUGUAAAGCCCUAUCGGCAGGGAAGAAGCAAGACGGUACCUGACUAAGAAGCCCCGGCUAACUACGUGCCAGCAGCCGCGGUAAUACGUAGGGGGCGAGCGUUAUCCGGAUUCACUGGGUGUAAAGGGAGCGUAGACGGCCAUGCAAGCCAGGGGUGAAAGCCCGGGGCCCAACCCCGGGACUGCAUUGGGAACUACCGGGCUGGAGUGCCGGAGAGGUAGGCGGAAUUCCUAGUGUAGCGGUGAAAUGCGUAGAUAUUAGGAGGAACACCAGUGGCGAAGGCGGCCUACUGGACGGUGACUGACGCUGAGGCUCGAAAGCGUGGGGAGCAAACAGGAUUAGAUACCCUAGUA
RNAcentral lists this ribosomal RNA (446 nucleotides) under uncultured bacterium. RNAcentral describes it as "bacterial SSU rRNA". It matches the Rfam family "Bacterial small subunit ribosomal RNA", at positions 330 to 792 of the family's 1533-position model. The record is from RNAcentral.